AUAGGGGAAGUUUAUGAAUUUUAUUGUUCGUCGACCACGGUUUCCCCGGGUUAGUUUCGCAAAAAAAAACCAAAAAAAUAAAGACAGAAAAAGAAAGAGAGAAGGGGGAGAGAGAGAGAGAGAGAGAGAGAGAGAGAGAGAGAAUAAGCAUUGACUCGCUUUCGAACUCGGACUUCCUCACCGAUAUAGCAGACUUUAUUUUUAACGUUACUUAUAAUAUAUAAAAAGAAAAAAAAAUGAAAUGGUUUGGAUAGACGAGGUCGAAUGCGAAUUUCUUACUGAGCUCGUCGUAAUACGUGAUAAAGGAAAAAAUUAAUAAAUAGAAAAAGAUAAAAAAAAGAAGCAAAAGUAAACGAAAGAGAGGAAACAAUCUUAAAGGAGCUCAUAGAAUUUAUUAUUAAAGAAAGAAAAAAAAAAAAGGAAAAAAAGUAAAAGAAAACUGAUAAAUUAAACUGCGAAACGAAUGAGCACGAGGAACACCAAAAGCAUCGGCACAGAACUAAACGACAUCUGAUAUAUAAACACGUUGUUAAUGGGUAUUACAAUAAAUUUAAGCCGAUAUCGAAGGAUUAAUUCGUGUAAAUUAGACGACAGAAAGUAUCCACAUAGAUGAAUACCUACAACCAAAAAUAUAUAUAAAUAUAAAAAUACAGAUACACACAUACGGAUACAUAUACGUACACUCAUAUACACAUUAACAUGCGCGUGAAACGAGAUGGAACCAGCCACACACACACACACACACACACACACAAAUCUACACGGACUCGUUUCGCGCAAACAUUCUUACUUAUAGACACGCAUACACGUUUAACACAUAACUUGGAUUAAUAGAUGACAUUAAUUAGGGAAAUCGCGCGUGGCACGGCCGAACCGCCGAAUCGAUUCUAUCGAACGAACGAAAUCGCGUGAUCUUCUUUGUCGGUAAUAAAUAAAAAAAUUGAGAAAAAGAAAGAAAGAGAAAGAAAGAGAGAGAAAGAGAGAUAGACAGACAGACAGAGAAAGAGAGAAAGAGAGAGAAAGUAAGAAAGAAGAAACAACGAGCACACCGCAAGGAUUCCUCUGCGAGACAAGGAAAUGUUUCUGUCUGAUAAAUCUCUGUUCGUAUCCCUUGCAAUAUUUGUUUUUACGAAAAAUCUUUAACGUCGAUAUUCGAGUAAACAUAUAUGUGUCGUUGAUUAUGAAAUUGAUCCGACGAAAUAAUUAGGAUUAAGACAUAAAAGAAGAUGAACGAUAAACAUGAUUUGUCCAUAUAAUAAAUAUCAAUUUCGACUUCCAAUCAAGAACACUUUCAUAAUUUACCGACAUAUGUUUCGCAAAAUGAAUGAUCCAAUGAUCUAUAAAUUAAUUCGUUGGGAUACGCUGCAAGAUUAGAAUUCAGUUCGUUCCUACGAUCGACAGGAGGAAUUCCCCCCAUAUAUAUAUGUAUUAUAAUAAUUCGAGUCCCAUUAAUCCACGUGAUCCGCGUUAUCCUCUGCGAUUUUUUCUUCGAGAUCGUCGAGACUCCGGCCGUACAUACGUCGCGAUAGAUUUCUAUAUGUAGGUAUGUACUACGUUCGAGUUCGUCGUUGCCAGUUUGGUUCUUUUUAACCUUGCCAUGACAAUCGUGCCGAAGAUCGUCAGCCAGUAUUUAACGAUGGACUGGAAUUAAUUAGUAAUUUAAUGGAAUUUGAUAGUACACUUAAUACUCAGACUUUGAUAUAUACUGUCGUCGCACAAUUCGCAAGGUCGAUCUUCCGUUCGAGCGUGGCGAGUAGACUGACGUCGUAGAGACGAUUUUCAUUCUUAUUUCUCUCGUAAAUUAAUUAUUAUCACUUUUGUUACGUUCGUCGAAAAUAAAGGAAAAAAUACAAAAAAGAAAAAAAAAAGAAAAGAAAGAGGAAGAGUUAGAAAUAAAAAGUUAGAAGAGAGAGAGAGAGAGAGAGAGAGAGAGAGAAAUUAAAAAAUGGGGAGAAAAGCGUUGUUCGACAUUGUCGAUUCGGAUCGUUAUUACAUUAGGAAUUAAAUGAUUGCGCGACAUUGAUGUUUGGAUACGUCACUCGUAAGCAUAAUAUAAUACAUACAUAUAUACAUACAUACAUAUAUAUUAUAUAAGUCGGUCAACAAUGCCGCGCGCGACGAGAGGAGAAAGAAAGAGAGCACGCGAUUAUGUUAGUGUGAUUCGAAGUCGGCCGAUCUCGUCAAAGCGUCUUGGAUAUUAUCUGCAUAGACAAAUCCAGACCAAAAAGGAUUUCUUUUUCUUUAUUAUCCUAUAAUGCCAAAUGAAAAUUUCGUAUUUAACGUACUCCAUUCUAAGGGAAUACGAACAUUUUAUUUUUGCUCUUCGAGAUCUACGGGGAACAAAUAUCAAACUCGAUGUUAUCUCGAACUCGAAUGUGUAACGCAAAUUUAACGAUACUCGCAAAUAAGGAUCUCUUAAUAAUGAAAAAAAAAAAAAGAAAAAAAAGCAAAAAAUGAAAAAAAAAAAAAGAAAAAAGACAAAAAAAACCAAGAAAGAAAGAAUAAAAAUACAGAAGAGAGCAUCGUCGUUAUGAUUUCCGUACCGAUUAGACUUCAUAACGAAUAAAUUGGCUCAUUCGAUAUUUAAUCGAUACUCGUAGAAUCCCGUCAAUUAUUAGCGUAUCCGUCGGUGAUGUAAUUAUUAUGAUGUAUUUAUUAAUAGAUCUAUACAUAUACAUAUAUAUACAGACAGACAGACAUAACUUAUAUGUAUAUUCGCGAUAUUUAAAGGCCAUUACUCUCUGUACAGGCGAGCUUAUAGAACGCCCAUUUGAGAUUGUACACUUCAUUUUACUUUAGAUUAUUCUAUCUCAAAUACGAAGCGUAUAUUUUUAUGAGACGGUACAUGUGCAGGCACAUUUCAGUACAAAGUCGUCGGUGCUUAUCUCGGAUCUCAACGAAAAUUUCAUUUUUACGCGUGCGUAUCGGAGUUGGGCAAAAUAUAAUCAAUUAAUAAUCAUCGAUAAUCAUAGCAUAUUGAGUAAUCGGUAACGCAUUAAUGAAUAAUGAAAACGAACGAUAAUAAUUAAUCGUAAAAGCAUUACGAUAUUAAUUAUGAUCGACUGAAAGAAUUAGCAAUGCAUUAAAUAUUGAAAAUACACAUAAUUAUUUUCUACGCCAUUAGCAUCCAUUGAUAUCUUCCAAAAUUUCAUGAAGAUCGUAGUAAAUUUUUUUCUUCUCACGAUUAUUGGUUACCGAUUACUGAUUAUCGAUUACAAAUGAAUGAUUAAUCUCGAAGAAAAAUAUUGAUCCAUUACGAAAUUAAUUAGAAGAGUAAUCGAUUAUUGCCUUACUCCAAUGGAUGUGUACACAUUCGGUCCUUGUUCGAUCCUUAUCAGAGAAUUUGAGAAGACAUGAUCGCACACGUGCGAAAUAAUAAAUAUUGUAAAAUCGUAAAUCUCGAUGCGUAACAGGCAGGUCCCCUUGAAUAACGCGUUGAGCUUUCUCUAAUUAAAAUGGCACAAACGACAAUCUCUAUCGAAAUUCCAUUACGUUUUUUAACGACUAAAUAUCAUUUUUUUCUCCUUCUUCUUUUUUUAACGUCGGGUGCUAUUAUUUUCUUCAAGUUCACGUGAAAAGUCGCGUUCACACGAAAGUAAGAGAGAUCGAUUUAAAAAGAAAUACAGUUCUCUUUAUAGAUCCAUUAUUGACGAUCGGCCGAGUCUGGUAUCGAUAAAAAGCGCUCCAUCAAGUGCAAGCUCUUUCUUUUCUUCUUCCUUAAAAUCGGACGCCCGGUUUCACAAAGGCCUGUCAAAUCGCGAUAUUAGAAACAGGGUGUACGAGGAUCGUGAUGAGAUGCUUGGAAUGCAAAUCUCUGACAACGAGUAGCGUCGAUUGUUUUUAUAUAUUAUUGAAUGGUUCUUUCUAUUAUUUUUUUCUUUUUUUUUUUUUUUUUCAGUUGUAAUUUGUAUAAUAAUUACGUAUAAAGUUCUACAACUAAAAGAAAUAGUUGUCAAUCGAUAUUAGGAUAUCGACAGGAAGAAUUGUUAUUUUUUCUCGGAUGAUUAGAUUCUAAACGUUUGCUAUUCAUGGUCAUGUAUUUUCCAUCUCGAUGCUUCUCAAAGUCAGUUCGAAUCGCAUGACGGAAAACAAAAGGAUAAAGAAAACUAUCCAAAUGAGAGUUUUGUUGAAUAUUGCGCGAUAAUGAUCCGUAUUGUCGAUCCUAGAAAAAGUGAAAGGAAGGAAGGAAGGAAAUAAGAAAGAUGGGAGAAAAAAUGAAUGAGAGAGAGAGAGAGAGAGAGAGAGAGAGAGAGCAUGUGAAACACGUCGAUGAGUCAAACAUUGACGGAACUUGACGAAGAAAAGACACUAGAGGCUGAAAACAUCGUGGAGUACUGGAGGUCCUUAGUACGUAAUUUCAAGGUCUAAGAAACCUUAACGUAGAGAUAAACGUUCGUAAAAGGAAACAAAAAAAAUGAGAGAAAGAGAAAGAGAAAGAGAGAGAGAGAGAGAGAGAGAGAGAGAGAGAGAGAGAGAUAGAGAGAGAGAGAGAGGGAGAGAGAGAGAGAGGCGUACGUACGAAGAUUGUAAACGCUUCGAUAAGUCCCUAGCUUGAAUCUUCGACGUUUAUUGAUAAACACGGUAGAAUACGUCGAUAAAAUCGCUUGUGAUUCAACGUCAAGUAAAAAGUUUCGAUUCAUCGUACUAUUAAUUUCAAUAGCCGAUAUCGAUACCUCUCUACGAGAAUAACGUUAUCCUUUGAUUACGCUAAACUUUCGCUAUCUUGAACGUUGUGGUGAAGGAAAUACGGGCGAUUAAAUUGCGCGAUCGAGAUUAGCGAAUUUAAUUUCGUUGUUGAUUUCGCACUUAAUUAUUCCACGAGAGACGACAAUCAAUGAAUAAUUCAAAUGAAAAAAGAUACGAAAAAUAAUAGAUAGAACAAAAGGAGCUUUCUUUUUCUUUGUUGGAUAGUUCAAAAAAAAAAAAAAAAAAAAAAAAAAGAAAUAAAGAAAAAAAGAAGACGAAGCGAUCUCUAACGCGUCUUUCGUAGAUCGAAGAAAGAGGGAUGAUCUCAUUUGUCAAUUAUUUUUUUCUUUGCUUAGGCCUUAUUAUCGAUACGUUUCACGGUGCGGAUACUUUUUUCCUAUCUAUACUCGACGUAUAGGUGCACGCAUUGAAAAAGUAUUCCGACACCUUCUACUCGUGAAGAAAAAGAAAUCAAGCAGGAGGCUUGAAAAUUAGUUGCUCUACUCGAUGACAAUUCAAUUCGAGUAAGAAGUAAGAAAAUCUAGGAGAAAGAGAGAGAGAGAGAGAGAGAGAAAGAAACAUUCUUCUUCAUAGCGAUAUUCUCGUAAUUUUUCUCAAUUACAUUUUCGGAUUUAUAGAGAAAACGACGAGUAUAACGUAUAGGAGAGAUUAUAUGAUAACGUUACGUGAAUCUUUUUCUUUCGAUUAAAACAUUAAAUGAGGAAUCUCGAAGAUGAGGACGAGCGGUUAAAGGAAUGCUCGCUGAUAAUAAAAUCUCUAGCUCGGAGACGUAUCCCAAUAGUUGGCCUAGUACCGAGUUUCAUAUUUUUCGCCCCGGUCGCAACGGAUCGUCGAACGAUUAUCGUCUAUUACAUUAUUGACAUUCUUCCAGAAAUUUUAUUGAUAUAAACUUUAUCGCUACCGUUGAACAUAAUAUAUUUGAUUAUGAUAUGGCGAUACCUUCGGUAUUAUAAUUAUGGACACCGAAUAUAUCGGGAGAUAGAGAGAGAGAGAGAGAGAGAGAGGGGUGGGAGGGAGAGGGAGAGGGGAAAGAGAGGAAGAGGGAGAGAGAAAGAGAAAGGAGAGAAAAAAACUGAGGGAAAACGCGAUUCGCGUCUUGUAAAACUCAGUGGAUUUGGGGGUAGUAGAUUAUAUAAAUAGGGCAUAAGGGUUGGGUAGACAAGGGGAUAGGGGAAAAAUAUUGGGGGACGGGGGGGUUCGAAUGAUAACGAAACGAAGAUUAAGGCUAUGUAAAGAGACGAUGUAACGAGUCUUUCGAAAGAAAAAUCUCUUCCUUUCGUUGAUGUAAAACGUUGAAUGAUGAACCAAAGUGAAAAGAAUCUUAACUGUACGUAUGAAUGGAAAAUACAGCACAAGAAUCUCGUUUCCGUUUUCAUCUAAUUACGUAACGAUAUAUCAGUAAUGAAUAUUAUGAUUACGAUGAUUGCUGUAUUUAUUGUUAUUGUUCCUCGGUUAAGCGGAGACGUUUAAGAGUGACCCAUUUGUACAAUCAUUGAGUCAUUAAAAUAUGAUUAUUCAUUAUGGAAA
Molecule: long non-coding RNA, 6234 nt
Organism: Vespa mandarinia (Asian giant hornet)
Lineage: Eukaryota; Metazoa; Arthropoda; Insecta; Hymenoptera; Vespidae
Source: RefSeq, a predicted model, not a curated record